UCGGUAAAAUAAUUUAAAAACAGCUAGCAAAUUAAAUUAAACCACGUUUAUACGGGUCAUGAACGCGGGAAUUUGUCAAAAUUGAGUGCGAAUGUUCGCCGCUAGGAUACGUCAUACUCGUCUGAGGCAAAGCGCUAAAAAUGUAUUUUGCCGCGUAGCCGUUGAAAAUGUUGAAAUAGAGCGGAUAGCCGCCACCCGGUGACCGUGUCAUUCUGUAUUUUGCGAUCACGCGGAACGGUCGUCGUCCGUCGAUAUUAUAAUUAAAUUUAAAACACAAUAUAAAUAAUGCAUAGUUUGUUUCAAGCGGGGCAUACCGCCCCACAGUGCCACUUGCAAAGCGCGCCGCCGCAGCGGCCACGGAUGCUGCCGCUGAGGCUGCAAUAGAGCAGCCAGGGCAGAGAAGGCCGCAGAAGCGGCCAUUGCUCUGGCCAAGAAAUUAAGAGGAGGCCGGCGGCCGCCCUGGCUGCUCAGCAACCGGACCAACAUGAGCCACAGCAGCAGCAACCGCCGCAGCAACCGCCGCAGCCUUAAUAACAUUUUUAUAAAACCAAAUAAUAUAAAAUACAAAAAAAAAAAAUUUAUUCAGUGUGUUUUCAUUUCCUGACCAUCAUUAUAGUUUAAUAAUUGGAGUUACUAAUUUGUAGGUGUCUUGUAAUUUAAAGAUAUGCGUACAUAUAAUGAUUACGAUGUUCAAAAUUUAAAAUAGUAAAUAAUUACAUCGAUAUUAUAUGGUACCUUUAAUGCUUUUAA
RNA transcript from Aphis gossypii (cotton aphid), 750 nucleotides. RefSeq lists it as uncharacterized. The record is from RefSeq and is a predicted model, not a curated record. The transcript is spliced from 2 exons. Lineage: Eukaryota; Metazoa; Arthropoda; Insecta; Hemiptera; Aphididae.